GCACAUUUGUCUAUGAGCUCACAAUGUGGGGCAUGCAAGCUACCUGGGGCUCUGUGAGCUCCCCUACCACAGUGCCAUAAGUGGAGCUGAUGGAUCAGCAAGAUGUAUCUUGGUGAAAUUUCAAACACUACUCAGCAUCAAAUUGAGGAAUAAUUGCCACUACAGCAGUGAGAACUCCUGCAAUGAUGGACUUCCAUGAGACCUGGGAUUUCAUUGUCCAGUUUUCACCGUACCCCUUCACAAACAACUGUGGAAUAACUAAAGAAGAGUCUUCUUUCCAUUUACCUAAAGUGCAACAACCAGA
Molecule: long non-coding RNA, 304 nt
Organism: Phasianus colchicus (ring-necked pheasant)
Lineage: Eukaryota; Metazoa; Chordata; Aves; Galliformes; Phasianidae
Source: RefSeq, a predicted model, not a curated record